RNAcentral lists this ribosomal RNA (562 nucleotides) under Ptychadena oxyrhynchus (sharp-nosed frog). RNAcentral describes it as "partial 16S ribosomal RNA". It matches the Rfam family "Bacterial large subunit ribosomal RNA", at positions 1811 to 2599 of the family's 2925-position model. Lineage: Eukaryota; Metazoa; Chordata; Amphibia; Anura; Ptychadenidae. The record is from RNAcentral.
AAACAUCGCCUCUUGCCCAAAUAUAAGAGGUCCCGCCUGCCCAGUGACAGGAUUCAACGGCCGCGGUACUCUAACCGUGCGAAGGUAGCACAAUAGCUUGUUCUUUAAAUAAGGACUAGAAUCAAUGGCUUCACGAGGGUUGUACUGUCUCCUUUUUCUAAUCAGUGAAACUGAUCUCCCCGUGAAGAAGCGGGGAUAUACAUAUAAGACGAGAAGACCCCAUGGAGCUUUAAACUCAAUAGAUACCCCUCUGCUCUAACAUGAUAACUUAGGCACCUAUCUAUUAGUUUUGGGUUGGGGUGACCACGGAGUACAAUCUAGCCUCCGCAAUGAAAAGAAUAAUAUCCUAAUCCAUGAGGGACACCUCUAAGAAUUAAUAUAUUAGCAUACACUGAUCCAAUAACCUACUUGAUCAAUGAACCAAGUUACCCUGGGGAUAACAGCGCGAUCCACUUCAAGAGUUCCUAUCGACGAGUGGGUUUACGACCUCGAUGUUGGAUCAGGGUAUCCCGGUGGUGCAGCCGCUACUAAAGGUUCGUUUGUUCAACGAUUAAAACCCUAC